GCUGAGAAUCUACGAUGGCCAGUGAGCUGGUAUGAUUCAUACGAAGUUCCAUGUCUCACUUAUCUCUCCAAAUCAUGCAAACUAACUAGAAAGACGAACAGUGUCCCUUGAAAUGCACAAGGCUUCCUCUCUCGAGGGUGAAACACUCACCUAGUGUGUCCUUCAGGUUCUUCACGAGGGAGCCCUUCUUCAGGCUGUUCUUCCGCUCCACGUAGUUGGACGGUACAUAGCCCGUCCUGUUGGCCGCGUUCCUCACCCGCCACCACGUCUUGGAGUCGUCCAGCAACCACAGCCGCUCGUUCUUCUUGAUGUCCAGCUCCUGGUCCUGCUGGGC
This 334-nucleotide long non-coding RNA is filed under the name Homo sapiens (human). Its description in RNAcentral is "non-protein coding lnc-UXS1-4:3". Lineage: Eukaryota; Metazoa; Chordata; Mammalia; Primates; Hominidae. The record is from RNAcentral.